Molecule: ribosomal RNA, 486 nt
Filed under: uncultured organism
Description: bacterial SSU rRNA
Rfam family: Bacterial small subunit ribosomal RNA
Source: RNAcentral
GAUGAACGCUAGCGGCAGGCUUAACACAUGCAAGUCGAGGGGUAACAGGGAUUGCUUGCAAUCCGCUGACGACCGGCGCACGGGUGCGUAACGCGUAUAGAACCUACCUUUUACAGAGGGAUAGCCUUUAGAAAUGAAGAUUAAUACCUCAUAGUAUCAUAAGAUCACCUGAUUUAAUGAUUAAAGAUUCGUCGGUAAAAGAUGGCUAUGCGUCCUAUUAGCUAGAUGGUAAGGUAACGGCUUACCAUGGCAACGAUAGGUAGGGGUCCUGAGAGGGAGAUCCCCCACACUGGUACUGAGACACGGACCAGACUCCUACGGGAGGCAGCAGUGAGGAAUAUUGGGCAAUGGACGAAAGUCUGACCCAGCCAUGCCGCGUGCAGGAAGACGGCCCUAUGGGUUGUAAACUGCUUUUAUAUAGGAAGAAACCCACCUACGUGUAGGUGGCUGACGGUACUAUAUGAAUAAGCACCGGCUAACUCCGUG